This 362-nucleotide ribosomal RNA is filed under the name uncultured bacterium. Its description in RNAcentral is "bacterial SSU rRNA". It matches the Rfam family "Bacterial small subunit ribosomal RNA", at positions 29 to 381 of the family's 1533-position model. The record is from RNAcentral.
AACGAACGCUGGCGGCGCGCCUAACACAUGCAAGUCGAACGAGAAUCCGGGGCAACUCGGUAGUAAAGUGGCAAACGGGUGAGGAAUACAUGGGUAACCUGCCCUUGAGAAGGGAAUAACCCGCCGAAAGGUGAGCUAAUACCCUAUACGCUUUGUUCUUCAUGGAAAGCAAAGGAAAGUCAAGCCGAGGGCUUGGCACUCAAGGAGGGGCUCAUGUCCUAUCAGCUUGUUGGUGGGGUAACGGCCUACCAAGGCUACGACGGGUAGCUGGUCUGAGAGGAUGAUCAGCCACACUGGCACUGAGAUACGGGCCAGACUCCUACGGGAGGCAGCAGUGAGGAAUAUUGCGCAAUGGGCGAAAG